Molecule: ribosomal RNA, 397 nt
Filed under: uncultured bacterium
Lineage: Bacteria
Description: partial 16S ribosomal RNA
Rfam family: Bacterial small subunit ribosomal RNA
Source: RNAcentral
AUACGUAGGGGGCGAGCGUUGUCCGGAAUUACUGGGCGUAAAGGGUGCGUAGGUGGCACUUUAAGUUGGAUGUGAAAUCCCCGUGCUUAACAUGGGAGCUGCAUCCAAUACUGGAGAGCUAGAGUGCAGGAGAGGUAAGCGGAAUUCCUAGUGUAGCGGUGAAAUGCGUAUAUAUUAGGAGGAACACCAGUGGCGAAGGCGGCUUACUGGACUGUAACUGACACUGAGGCACGAAAGCGUGGGGAGCAAACAGGAUUAGAUACCCUGGUAGUCCACGCUGUAAACGAUGAAUUCUAGGUGUAGUUGGUAUCAACUCCCUCUGUGCCGCAGCAAACGCAAUAAGUAUGCCGCCUGGGGAGUACGGCCGCAAGGUUGAAACUCAAAUGAAUUAACGGGG